RNAcentral lists this ribosomal RNA (497 nucleotides) under uncultured bacterium. Its description in RNAcentral is "partial 16S ribosomal RNA". It matches the Rfam family "Bacterial small subunit ribosomal RNA", at positions 28 to 507 of the family's 1533-position model. The record is from RNAcentral.
GAUGAACGCUGGCGGCGUGCCUAAUACAUGCAAGUCGAGCGAACGGACGAGAAGCUUGCUUCUCUGAUGUUAGCGGCGGACGGGUGAGUAACACGUGGAUAACCUACCUAUAAGACUGGGAUAACUUCGGGAAACCGUAGCUAAUACCGGAUAAUAUUUUGAACCGCAUGGUUCAAAAGUGAAAGACGGUCUUGCUGUCACUUAUAGAUGGAUCCGCGCUGCAUUAGCUAGUUGGUAAGGUAACGGCUUACCAAGGCAACGAUGCAUAGCCGACCUGAGAGGGUGAUCGGCCACACUGGAACUGAGACACGGCCCAGACUCCUACGGGAGGCAGCAGUAGGGAAUCUUCCGCAAUGGGCGAAAGCCUGACGGAGCAACGCCGCGUGAGUGAUGAAGGUCUUCGGAUCGUAAAACUCUGUUAUUAGGGAAGAACAUAUGUUUAAGUAACUGUGCACAUCUUGACGGUACCUAAUCAGAAAGCCACGGCUAACUACGUG